AAGAGCUUUGAUAAUAACACCGCACCGC
This 28-nucleotide small RNA is filed under the name Bombyx mori (domestic silkworm). RNAcentral's name for it is "ovarian small RNA-10527". The record is from RNAcentral. Lineage: Eukaryota; Metazoa; Arthropoda; Insecta; Lepidoptera; Bombycidae.